Molecule: long non-coding RNA, 206 nt
Organism: Melopsittacus undulatus (budgerigar)
Lineage: Eukaryota; Metazoa; Chordata; Aves; Psittaciformes; Psittaculidae
Exons: 3
Source: RefSeq, a predicted model, not a curated record
AGAAUGGUGAGUCUUCUGCAUCUAAUUCUCUGGCCCAGCUUUCAAAGACUGCCAACCUGGCUGAAGCCAGUGCUUCUGAAGAAGAUAAAAUAAAAGCCAUGAUGAUACAGUCUUUCCGUGAAUAUGAUCCAGUCCAUCCCAUGAAGAAGCCCUUGGCUACACCUCCACCAUCAUAUGUCUGCUUUCGGUGCGGAAAACCUGGCCAC